UGGUCCCACCCGAUCCCAUCCCGAACUCGGCAGUGAAACGCACCCGCGCCAAUGGUAGUGUGGCAGUUGCCAUGCGAGAGUAGGUCACCGCCAGGG
RNAcentral lists this ribosomal RNA (96 nucleotides) under Oleiagrimonas citrea. The record is from RNAcentral. Lineage: Bacteria; Pseudomonadati; Pseudomonadota; Gammaproteobacteria; Lysobacterales; Rhodanobacteraceae.